Molecule: transfer RNA, 85 nt
Filed under: Felis catus (domestic cat)
Lineage: Eukaryota; Metazoa; Chordata; Mammalia; Carnivora; Felidae
Rfam family: tRNA
About the family: Transfer RNA (tRNA) molecules are approximately 80 nucleotides in length. Their secondary structure includes four short double-helical elements and three loops (D, anti-codon, and T loops).
Source: Rfam by way of RNAcentral
GCCUGGGUGGCUCAGUCGGUGGAGCGACUGACUUCGGCUCAGGUCAUGAUCUCAUGGUCUGUGGGUUCAAGCCCCGCGUCGGGCU